Molecule: ribosomal RNA, 253 nt
Filed under: uncultured bacterium
Lineage: Bacteria
Description: partial 16S ribosomal RNA
Rfam family: Bacterial small subunit ribosomal RNA
Source: RNAcentral
UACGGAGGGGGCUAGCGUUGUUCGGAAUUAUUGGGCGUAAAGGGCUCGUAGGCGGUUUGUCGCGUCAGAUGUGAAAGCCCGGGGCUUAACCCUGGGUCUGCUUCUGAUACGGGCAGACUAGAGGUAUGUAGGGGAGAACGGAAUUCCUGGUGUAGCGGUGAAAUGCGCAGAUAUCAGGAGGAACACCGGUGGCGAAGGCGGUUCUCUGGGCAUUACCUGACGCUGAGGAGCGAAAGUGUGGGGAGCGAACAGG